RNAcentral lists this ribosomal RNA (433 nucleotides) under uncultured bacterium. RNAcentral describes it as "partial 16S ribosomal RNA". It matches the Rfam family "Bacterial small subunit ribosomal RNA", at positions 29 to 507 of the family's 1533-position model. The record is from RNAcentral.
AACGAACGCUGGCGGCAUGCCUAACACAUGCCAGUCGAACGAGACCUUCGGGUCUAGUGGCGCACGGGUGCGUAACGCGUGGGAACCUGCCCUUAGGUUCGGAAUAACUCCCCGAAAGGGGUGCUAAUACCGGAUAAUGUCUUCGGACCAAAGAUUUAUCGCCUUUGGAUGGGCCCGCGUUGGAUUAGCUAGUUGGUAGGGUAAAAGCCUACCAAGGCGACGAUCCAUAGCUGGUCUGAGAGGAUGAUCAGCCACACUGGGACUGAGACACGGCCCAGACUCCUACGGGAGGCAGCAGUGGGGAAUAUUGGACAAUGGGCGAAAGCCUGAUCCAGCAGUGCCGCGUGAGUGAUGAAGGCCUUAGGGUUGUAAAGCUCUUUUACCCGGGAUGAUAAUGACAGUACCGGGAGAAUAAGCUCCGGCUAACUCCGUG